UGAUUAUUUAAUUAAUUAAAUUUUUUCAAUUAAUUAAAAUCAAAUUAUUUUUCAAAUUGAACUUUUGAAUUUGAUUAAUUUGAAAUUAGAUCAAUUAAAAAUUGAAAAACAAUUUUGAUAAUGGAGAUUUCCAAGAUUUUGAAUGCUUGGUGGAUUCAACACAAUUUAGACACCUAGACCACUCCUUAAUGCUCUUUGAUGUGUCAAUGAGUUCAAUCUCUUAGUAUUUGCAUGUAUUUGAUACAUAAAAGCUCAAUUUUGGUGAUUAAGACUGAGGUUGCAUGCUGAACUUAAUGGAGAUUCUACUCUCUUGGUUUUUAUUUGACUACUCUCCAAACCCUCCUCUUUCCUUACUCAAUUCCCAUCAAUUUUGAGUUCUACCACUCAAAUCCAAGUUGGAAAAUAGUAGAGAAGACUCUCUUGGUGGUUCAUUAUUGAUUUGAAGCCCAAUUCGUAGAGAAGAGCAAGGAUCAAGAGGAUUUCUUCAAAGGUAAAGGAAAGGAUAGAACGACAAAUGACAAGAAGAAUCUAUGACCGGGCCUUGGGAUUUGACAACGCUUCCGCAUAUGUUUUUCUUAUAUUUGCGAGUUUUAGUUUUGUAAUUAAACCUUCAAAUUCUUGUAAUAUUUCAUUUGGCUUUUUUCUAUUUAGUUUAUUUUUAGUUAAAGUUAUAGGUGCCCCGAACAACGAUUUUAUGUUCUUUUUAUAGGUUUAUACGAUAAAAAUUUAUUUCAUUCUUUUGAA
Long non-coding RNA from Benincasa hispida (wax gourd), 744 nucleotides. RefSeq lists it as uncharacterized. NCBI's taxonomy places the organism in Eukaryota, Viridiplantae, Streptophyta, Magnoliopsida, Cucurbitales, Cucurbitaceae. The record is from RefSeq and is a predicted model, not a curated record.